This 204-nucleotide long non-coding RNA is filed under the name Elaeis guineensis (African oil palm). Its description in RNAcentral is "long non-coding RNA (EGUI_LNC009600)". The record is from RNAcentral. Lineage: Eukaryota; Viridiplantae; Streptophyta; Magnoliopsida; Arecales; Arecaceae.
UGGCCCUAGGUAUGUCGAUCAUUAAAAUUUAGUUUCGAUGAUCAUAAAUGAUCGCAUGAUGAUCUGAUAGAUAGAGACCACCGAUGGAUCCAAAAACUUACAACGAUAAUUUUGAUGAUAUUUAUAGCAUACUAUCAAAAUUUUACUUCAAUCAGACAUUAUUAUCAUGAUCAAUUUAGUACGAGAUGAUUUCGAUCGUUAAAU